GGUCUGGGCGUAGCGCCCGCUCCAGCGCCGCAAGCAGCUCAUCUUUUUCUGGCUGGAAGGUGCGGAGCCCCGCGGAGACCGCAGCUAGGACCACGCAGUAGACGGCGUCCAGGAGCUGGCGGCGGGCAAGAGUGGAGGGCGGCCCAUCCGAGGGUCUGCAAAGCUGAGGUCCGAGCCCCACCUGUGCCUCGCAGACGGAUGCCACCCUGAAGAGCGAGGCUCCAGGCGCGCUGCGCUUCGGCGGACGGCGCGGAGAAGCAGAGGAGCCGGCGGAAGGGGUGCUGCAGCAGGAGCGGGGCGCACACUGGCGUCUCCAGUAGUUGCUCGGGGCCUGCGGGGACGGCCGAGCGGGCUCGACAUCCGCCGCACAUUCGAUCGCUAACCACCCCUGAGGGCCACUUAGGUCCUUAGCAGUGGACAGGACCUGGACCCCUGAGCCAGGGUUUCCCUGUCUGUGAAAGAAGCUGCACGGUAACGCUAGAGGGGCCGGGCGCUGAGGGCAAGCUUGCGGGUCAGCACUCGGGAGGCUGAGGCAGAAAAGUCACCCGGAGUUUGAGGCCAGCCGGAGCUAUAAAUCGAGACCCUAGCUCAAAACACCAAAAAUGCAAAUAAAACAGCCAAAGGGUGAUACUGAUGACUUAGGACUGUUAGGAAGACAAAAUAAAUGAGUUUUUAUUGCGGA
Cavia porcellus (domestic guinea pig) is the source of this 682-nucleotide long non-coding RNA. RefSeq lists it as uncharacterized. The record is from RefSeq and is a predicted model, not a curated record. Lineage: Eukaryota; Metazoa; Chordata; Mammalia; Rodentia; Caviidae. The transcript has 2 exons.